Non-coding RNA from Salmo salar (Atlantic salmon), 54 nucleotides. The record is from Rfam. NCBI's taxonomy places the organism in Eukaryota, Metazoa, Chordata, Actinopteri, Salmoniformes, Salmonidae.
UGCACUCACUACUGUAAGUCGCUCUGGAUAAGAACAUCUGCUAAAUGACUCAAU